GUACGAUUUUCAUAGGAAUGUAG
Molecule: small RNA, 23 nt
Filed under: Arabidopsis thaliana (thale cress)
Lineage: Eukaryota; Viridiplantae; Streptophyta; Magnoliopsida; Brassicales; Brassicaceae
Description: ATSL000730
Source: RNAcentral